RNAcentral lists this ribosomal RNA (989 nucleotides) under Escherichia coli. RNAcentral describes it as "partial 23S ribosomal RNA". It matches the Rfam family "Bacterial large subunit ribosomal RNA", at positions 296 to 1295 of the family's 2925-position model. Lineage: Bacteria; Pseudomonadati; Pseudomonadota; Gammaproteobacteria; Enterobacterales; Enterobacteriaceae. The record is from RNAcentral.
AGCCCAGAGCCUGAAUCAGUGUGUGUGUUAGUGGAAGCGUCUGGAAAGGCGCGCGAUACAGGGUGACAGCCCCGUACACAAAAAUGCACAUACUGUGAGCUCGAUGAGUAGGGCGGGACACGUGGUAUCCUGUCUGAAUAUGGGGGGACCAUCCUCCAAGGCUAAAUACUCCUGACUGACCGAUAGUGAACCAGUACCGUGAGGGAAAGGCGAAAAGAACCCCGGCGAGGGGAGUGAAAAAGAACCUGAAACCGUGUACGUACAAGCAGUGGGAGCCUCUUAAUGGGGUGACUGCGUACCUUUUGUAUAAUGGGUCAGCGACUUAUAUUCUGUAGCAAGGUUAACCGAAUAGGGGAGCCGAAGGGAAACCGAGUCUUAACUGGGCGUUAAGUUGCAGGGUAUAGACCCGAAACCCGGUGAUCUAGCCAUGGGCAGGUUGAAGGUUGGGUAACACUAACUGGAGGACCGAACCGACUAAUGUUGAAAAAUUAGCGGAUGACUUGUGGCUGGGGGUGAAAGGCCAAUCAAACCGGGAGAUAGCUGGUUCUCCCCGAAAGCUAUUUAGGUAGCGCCUCGUGAAUUCAUCUCCGGGGGUAGAGCACUGUUUCGGCAAGGGGGUCAUCCCGACUUACCAACCCGAUGCAAACUGCGAAUACCGGAGAAUGUUAUCACGGGAGACACACGGCGGGUGCUAACGUCCGUCGUGAAGAGGGAAACAACCCAGACCGCCAGCUAAGGUCCCAAAGUCAUGGUUAAGUGGGAAACGAUGUGGGAAGGCCCAGACAGCCAGGAUGUUGGCUUAGAAGCAGCCAUCAUUUAAAGAAAGCGUAAUAGCUCACUGGUCGAGUCGGCCUGCGCGGAAGAUGUAACGGGGCUAAACCAUGCACCGAAGCUGCGGCAGCGACACUAUGUGUUGUUGGGUAGGGGAGCGUUCUGUAAGCCUGUGAAGGUGUACUGUGAGGUAUGCUGGAGGUAUCAGAAGUGCGAAU